GCGAUGAAUCAUCUGAUUAACCAAGUGAUCGAAGUCAUUAUCUCAUUUGAACUUGCUAGAUGAUCAUCAACAAGAAUCUAGCAGUGGAGGUUUGUGCAGGAUCCCUACACUUAGAUUAACAAUGCAG
Molecule: long non-coding RNA, 127 nt
Organism: Pistacia vera
Lineage: Eukaryota; Viridiplantae; Streptophyta; Magnoliopsida; Sapindales; Anacardiaceae
Exons: 3
Source: RefSeq, a predicted model, not a curated record